ACAACCUUGCCAGGGAGAUAGUAUUGCUCACGUUUCAAGGUGUGGAAGUAAAGAUUCAGGAAAAUGAGCUUACCUGCCCAAAGUGAUCUGACAGGGACAGAUGACCAAACCUUGCAGACAGCGGCGGGAGCUGGAGGGACUUUGUUGAGGACUGGGACCCAGGUGCGGUUGCUGCAAUGCUCUCUGCUUUGGCAGAGAAAAGAUGCAGAUUCCCAGGUCACACCAAGUGACCUCUCCAGAACCUGGAACAGCCUCUGUGUGGACUGCCAUGGGAGAGCUGGAGCCACCACAGAAUCUUGCUCACCCCAGGGAGGUGGCAGCAAUAGGAUCAUCACGACUUUUCACCUUGACCUUUCACCACAGCCUGACCCCUCCAAGGUAGCUGCUCAAUGCCAGUUUGUGGAUCGACAUGUGAUUCUUACAUUUGCAACAACAUCUUCUGUGAGUAGCCUGCUCCCCCAGCACGAGGAAAAUGACACUGAUCCUGAGAGGAUUUGAUUCGUGCAUUCUGGAGGGACAAGCCUGCCUGGAAAAGUCUCCUGCAGGAGAGGCAGACCAGGCUGCCCCAACCUGAGUGUGGACUCCAGCCCUGGGCUGCCGGGCGAUAUGUCCUCCCAUCCACCCACUACCCUCACCAGUCUCAGCAGCGACUCAGAAUCUCUGUCUGGGUCUGGUCCACCACCUUCCCCUAUUUGGACUUGAACUCCUUCAGGGCUGGCACAGUGACCCGUCAUCCUAUCAUGCCCACAGUGACCUGCUGGGUGCUGUGAGAUGUCAGUUUGGGCCCUGCUGUGUGCACCAACUUCACUGGUGAUACUGUUACCACCUUAAGGGUCAGAGAGGUUUAAGAACUCACCCAAAGUCACCCAGCCAGUAAAUGGCUCAGUUGGGGUUCAAACCCAAGUCUAUAAGAUGCCAGAUCCCCUGGUCCAUCCAGACACCUGACUGCAUCUUGUACAUUGCACACAAUAGAUGUAAACAAUACAAAUGUCUACAGAAGUCAGGGACUGGGCGCGGUGCUUCACACCUGGAAUCCCAGCAUUUCAGAGGCCAAGGCUGGUGGAUCGCUUGAGCCUAGGAGUUUGAGACCAGCUGGGCAACAUGGUGAGACCCCAUCUCUACAAAAAGUACAAAAAUUAGCCAGGUGUGAUGGUGCACACCUGUGGUCCCUGAUACUGGGAGGCUGAGGUUGGAGGAUCACUUGAAGUUGAGGUCAAGGCUACAGUGAGCCGAGAUUGCAUCACUGUACUCCAGCCUGCGGGACAGAGCCAGACCCUGUCUCAAAAAUAAAUAAAUAAAUCUACAGAAGUGAAUCUGCCUGGAAAUGGAGAACCUAAAAGAAUCAUCAGGAGGUUUGGUUGGUGAUGUAGCAUUAAGGUGCCUGAGAGCCUCUUACACACACAGGCCAAGUGGGGAUCUAAGCCAAAGCACCUCCUCCAUGGUUUUAGGCCUAUGCUGGUGAACAAGGCAGAUGCAGCCCCGACAGCACCUGCCUUCCAGCUCUGCCACUGGACGGAGACAUCACAGACUUGUAGCAGGGACAGCCAUCCAGCCCACUGGGUGUUCACAUAUCUUCCACUUAAAACCUAGAAAAUGGAAGCGCAGAGUAGACAUAAGCCCGGUGCUGUUUUAAAAGGGAAUGGUUUAGUAACCUGUAGGUAGCUCUCUUCCUAUCCCCUGUGCCUGCAUGCAGCUGUGGGACCACAGUGGCUUGACACCUCCAUCAGUUCCCCCAUUCUAGGGUCAGAAGUGGGUCCUAUCAGAAGGUACAGCUUUCUGGCCUGGGCACAUUGCAGAAAGUGCUGCGGUUCUAAUUCUCACCACCAGAAGGCGCUCCUAGACCCUCUGCUGGGUUCAUACUACAAUGUUUCCAUCUAAAUCCAUGAAUCAGUUUUUUCUCACUCCUCUGUAUGUGAAAGCUACACCUAAAAUGUUUCUACUUAAAUCCAUGAACUAGUUUCCCUUACACCUUCCUCUGUAGGCGAAAGUUCCUCCAGAGACUAGAGCAGGACUUUGAAGGCCCAUGAACUGGGAAAUUAACUGUUUAGGUGCCAAAAGUGGGAGUUGUGAUGGGGGUUAAACUGACAGAGGAGGCGAAUGCUAUUGCUGUUUGAAAACGUAGGCCGGGCACUGUGGCUCACGCCUGUAAUCCCAGCACUUCGGGAGGCCAAGGCGGGCGGAUGACGAUUUGAGGAGAUGGAGACCAUCCUGGCCAACAUGGUGAAACCCUGGCUCUACUAAAAAUACAAAAAUUAGCUGGACGUGGUGGUGCAUGCCUGUAAUCCUAGCUACUCAGGAGGCUGAGGCAGGAGAAUCACUUGAACCGGGGAGUCAGAGGUUGCAGUGAGCCAGGAUCGCGCCACUGCACUCCAGCCUGGUGACAGAGAGAGACUCCGUUUC
This is a long non-coding RNA of Pan troglodytes (chimpanzee), 2400 nucleotides long. RefSeq lists it as uncharacterized. The transcript is spliced from 3 exons. The record is from RefSeq and is a predicted model, not a curated record. Lineage: Eukaryota; Metazoa; Chordata; Mammalia; Primates; Hominidae.